RNAcentral lists this long non-coding RNA (617 nucleotides) under Sus scrofa (pig). RNAcentral's name for it is "lncRNA (ENSSSCG00070030020.1)". Lineage: Eukaryota; Metazoa; Chordata; Mammalia; Artiodactyla; Suidae. The record is from RNAcentral.
AUCGGAAAGCCUGCCCUAAAGACCACCCAAGAGGGGGGUUUUUUCACUCGGGAAAUGUUUCCUCUAACCCAAUCCUUGCUUCUGUAGUUUCAUCCUAUUUCUUUGUGGUUUUUAUUUCCCCAGAAAGAAUGAAGAAUAGCUGCCAGUGGUCCUACAAAUUUGAAGAUUUGAAGCCCAUUACAGUGUUGAAGAUGGUUUUCUUCCCGUUGCCAUCAUUUCAAGUUAGGGUGGAUUUGACUCCGAGAGGCUCAGAGCUGUAAACUCCUCCAGGGCAGGACCUGACUCUUCAGAAGAAUUUUUUAACCCCUGCACCCCCACCCCCCACCCUGGAGCUGCCCAGGUCAAGGCCCUGAUAGAGCAGACGUUCAAGAGCAAUGACUAACUGCAGUUGAAAGCCCAGAAGAUACAACAAGCAAAAUCCUGCAUGUAAGAACUUUGCUCCAGACUAAGAUGUAAUCCAGUCAUUCCCUUUUCAUAAGACAAGUGUUGUCUGAAGGGGUCUGCAUGUGAUUUUGAGGCGAAAGGGCAGACAGAGCAGCAGAACUCAGGUCCCACUUUGCCCUGUAUCUGGAGCCUAUGAAAGGGGAAAGGAAGUGAGCCAUCUCGAUUCCCCAAGA